GGAAGAAAAAGACAAAACAACUUAGUUUGAAACAAAACAUGUUCCUCUUUUUGAUCCCUCUCUCUUUUUCUUUGCUUUGCUCAUUUCCUUGACUCUUCAUUUGAGACCUUUCAUCAUGACUUGGUCGUCACCCUCCUCUGCCCUUUCUCUUUCUCCACAUAUUUUCUUCACUAUAAAUUUGGUUCAUUCUAAGUCUUUUCAUGUCCAAACAUUUCAUCACUUUUCUCGAAUCUCUAAAUUCUCUGAAACUCUCUUUGAUUCUGUGUUUUAAUCUUUACAUCAAUGAAGAUACCUGGAGAUGAACUAUUUGGUCAAUGAAGUAAGCUAGUAUAUGUGAUGGACCUCUUCUCUACGGCCUGUGGUGAUCAAUGUAUUUUUCUUAGAGAAUUGCUAAAAUAGAGUUUCUUAGAGAAUUGUAAUUUGUUCUUUUGGUUUUGUGUCAGUAGAUUUCUAAAUGACUUGUGCUAUUAAUUCAAUAGGUUUCUUUUGUUAUGUUUGUUUAUUUAAUAUGUGUCUAUAUUUUUUUGUUUAAUAAGUGUCCAUCAAAAGGUACAAAUCAAUUUUCAAAAGAAAUGUUCAUUGGGAGAUCAAGAGAAUCUUAGGAAUUAUAAGUGAACAGAGAAAGUUUGUAAAAUAUUUUAUUUACUUGCAAAAAUAAAAAUGAAAGAUACGUUACUUUAUU
This is a long non-coding RNA of Benincasa hispida (wax gourd), 682 nucleotides long. RefSeq lists it as uncharacterized. NCBI's taxonomy places the organism in Eukaryota, Viridiplantae, Streptophyta, Magnoliopsida, Cucurbitales, Cucurbitaceae. The record is from RefSeq and is a predicted model, not a curated record.